This 409-nucleotide ribosomal RNA is filed under the name bacterium. RNAcentral's name for it is "partial 16S ribosomal RNA". It matches the Rfam family "Bacterial small subunit ribosomal RNA", at positions 355 to 776 of the family's 1533-position model. The record is from RNAcentral.
UGGGGAAUAUUGCACAAUGGGCGAAAGCCUGAUGCAGCGACGCCGCGUGAGGGAUGACGGCCUUCGGGUUGUAAACCUCUUUCAGCAGGGACGAAGCGCAAGUGACGGUACCUGCAGAAGAAGCACCGGCUAACUACGUCCCAGCAGCCGCGGUAAUACGUAGGGUGCAAGCGUUGUCCGGAAUUACUGGGCGUAAAGAGUUCGUAGGCGGUUUGUCGCGUCGUUUGUGAAAACCAGCAGCUCAACUGCUGGCUUGCAGGCGAUACGGGCAGACUUGAGUACUGCAGGGGAGACUGGAAUUCCUGGUGUAGCGGUGAAAUGCGCAGAUAUCAGGAGGAACACCGGUGGCGAAGGCGGGUCUCUGGGCAGUAACUGACGCUGAGGAACGAACGCGUGGGUAGCGAACAGG